Molecule: long non-coding RNA, 326 nt
Organism: Exaiptasia diaphana
Lineage: Eukaryota; Metazoa; Cnidaria; Anthozoa; Actiniaria; Aiptasiidae
Exons: 2
Source: RefSeq, a predicted model, not a curated record
GAUGCCUAUUGUUAAUGCUGCAAAAGAACAACAAAGACUAUCAGGGCGUAUGCUUUAUUGCAUGGCUUGAGAUGAAUCUCUCUACAGAAUACAGGAUGGUUGAGAGAUUUUGGUCAACUUUAACUAGUUUGAGCAUGGACCAUGGUACCUCAGCAAAAUCAGCAGAGUUGAAGAAGACCAUAAACAUAUUGUUUUACUAAAAGUGCUUGGAUUCCAAAGCAAAGUCACAUGACUGGAUAUGUAAGAUUUAUUGGUGAAUACCAUUGUCUAUUGUUAAAAUGGAUCAUAAUUCGAUAUCCGGGAUSCAUAAUAAAUGGUUAAAAAUU